This 1419-nucleotide ribosomal RNA is filed under the name metagenome. RNAcentral's name for it is "SSU rRNA". It matches the Rfam family "Eukaryotic small subunit ribosomal RNA", at positions 1 to 1437 of the family's 1831-position model. The record is from RNAcentral.
UCUGGUUGAUCCUGCCAGUAGUCAUAUGCUUGUCUCAAAGAUUAAGCCAUGCAUGUCUAAGUACAAACCUUUACACGGUGAAACCGCGAAUGGCUCAUUAAAUCAGCUAUGGUUCCUUAGAUCGUCUCUUCCUACUCGGAUAACUGUGGAAAAUCUAGAGCUAAUACGUGCUUACAAGCCCUGACCUCGCGGGAGGGGCGCAUUUAUUAGAUCAAAACCAAUCGAGGCUUGCCUCGUCUGCUUGGUGACUCUGGAUAACUUUUGUGCUGAUCGCAUGGCCUCUGCGCCGGCGACGUAUCUUUCAAGUGUCUGCCCUAUCAACUUACGAUGGUAGGUGAUAUGCCUACCAUGGUUAUAACGGGUAACGGGGAAUCAGGGUUCGAUUCCGGAGAAGGAGCCUGAGAAACGGCUACCACAUCUAAGGAAGGCAGCAGGCGCGCAAAUUACCCACUCCCGGCACGGGGAGGUAGUGACGAAAAAUAACGAUACGGGACUCUUUUGAGGCCCCGUAAUUGGAAUGAGUACACUUUAAAUCCGUUAACGAGAAUCUAUUGGAGGGCAAGUCUGGUGCCAGCAGCCGCGGUAAUUCCAGCUCCAAUAGCGUAUAUUAAUGUUGUUGCAGUUAAAAAGCUCGUAGUUGGAUCUGAGGACUCGAAUCGUCGGUGCAGUCAACGCUGUUACUGUUGAUUCGGCCUACCUAGUCGGUGCUCGCUCUUGGUGUUCUUAAUUGAAUGCCCUGAGUGCCCGACAUGUUUACUUUGAAAAAAUUAGAGUGCUCAAAGCAGGCCAUUAGCCGGAAUACUUCAGCAUGGAAUAAUGGAAUAGGACUUCGGUUCUAUUUUGUUGGUUUUCGGAACCCGAGGUAAUGAUUAAGAGAGACAGACGGGGGCAUUCGUACUGCGGUGUUAGAGGUGAAAUUCUUGGAUCGCCGCAAGACGAACAACUGCGAAAGCAUUUGCCAAGAAUGUUUUCAUUAAUCAAGAACGAAAGUCAGAGGUUCGAAGACGAUCAGAUACCGUCCUAGUUCUGACCAUAAACGAUGCCAACUGGCGAUCCGAGAUCGUUUGCUAUUUGACCUCUCGGGCAGCCUCCGGGAAACCAAAGUCUUUAGGUUCCGGGGGAAGUAUGGUUGCAAAGCUGGAACUUAAAGGAAUUGACGGAAGGGCACCACCAGGAGUGGAGCCUGCGGCUUAAUUUGACCCAACACGGGAAAACUCACCCGGCCCGGACACUGUUAGGAUUGACAGAUUGAGAGCUCUUUCUUGAUUCGGUGGGUGGUGGUGCAUGGCCGUUCUUAGUUGGUGGAGCGAUUUGUCUGGUUAAUUCCGAUAACGAACGAGACUCUAGCCUGCUAAAUAGUACGCCGAUAUCCAUUUUGUCGGUGCCGACUUCUUAGAGGGACAAGCGUCUUGAAGACGC